GGCCUGUCGAUUAUAAUUUUAGGUCUGACCUGCCCACUGACAAGUAUAAAUGGCCGCGGUAUUCUGACCGUGCAAAGGUAGCAUAAUCACUAGUUUUUUAAUUGAAAGCUUGAAUGAAAGGUUUGAUGAGAAAGAUACUGUCUCUAUGAAAAUUUAUUAGAAUUUUAUUUUUAAGUGAAAAAGCUUAAAUUUGUAUUGAAGACGAGAAGACCCUAUAGAGUUUUAUAUAAAGAUAAAAAGGAUAAAUUUUAGGAAUUUAUAAUUUAAGUUUUAUUUUUAUAUUUGGUUGGGGUGAUUGAAAAAUUUAAUUAACUUUUUCUUUAUUUAAACAUUGAUUUAUGAGUGAUUGAUCCUAAAGUUUAGAUUAUAAGAUUAAAUUACCUUAGGGAUAACAGCGUUAUUUUUUUUAGAGUUCUUAUCGAAAAAAAAGAUUGCGACCUCGAUGUUGGAUUAAAAUGAAUUACUGGUGUAGAAGCUGGUACAUUAGGUCUGUUCGACCUUUAAAAUUUUACAUGAUCUGAGUUUAAACCGGUGUGAG
This 538-nucleotide ribosomal RNA is filed under the name Trigonopterus sp. 27 AR-2022a. RNAcentral describes it as "partial large subunit ribosomal RNA". It matches the Rfam family "Bacterial large subunit ribosomal RNA", at positions 1854 to 2625 of the family's 2925-position model. Lineage: Eukaryota; Metazoa; Arthropoda; Insecta; Coleoptera; Curculionidae. The record is from RNAcentral.